This 439-nucleotide ribosomal RNA is filed under the name uncultured bacterium. Its description in RNAcentral is "partial 16S ribosomal RNA". It matches the Rfam family "Bacterial small subunit ribosomal RNA", at positions 338 to 795 of the family's 1533-position model. The record is from RNAcentral.
CCUACGGGAGGCAGCAGUGGGGAAUAUUGCACAAUGGGCGAAAGCCUGAUGCAGCAACGCCGCGUGAGCGAUGAAGGCCUUCGGGACGUAAAGCUCCGUCCACAAGGAAGAUAAUGAAGGUACUAGAGGAGGAAGACCAGGAUAACUACGGGCCAGCAGCAGCGGUAAUACGUAGGGGGCUAGCGUUAUCCGGAAUUACUGGGCGUAAAGGGUGCGUAGGUGGUUUCUUAAGUCAGAGGUGAGAGGCUACGGCUCAACCGUAGUAAGCCGUUGAAACUGGGGGACUUGAGUGCAGGAGAGGAGAGUGGAAUUCCUAGUGUAGCGGUGAAAUGCGUAGAUAUUAGGAGGAACACCAGUUGCGAAGGCGGCUCUCUGGACUGUAACUGACACUGAGGCACGAAAGCGUGGGGAGCAAACAGGAUUAGAUACCCGUGUAGUC